CUAGUAAUGGCAGGUCAGCAUACUGCCGUGAAUACGUUCCCGGGCCUUGUACACACCGCCCGUCACACCAUGAGAGUUGGGAAUACCCGAAGCCUGUGAGCCAACAAACGAGGCAGCAGUCGAAGGUAGAAUCAAUGAUUGGGGUGAAGUCGUAACAAGGUACC
Molecule: ribosomal RNA, 164 nt
Filed under: uncultured bacterium
Lineage: Bacteria
Description: partial 16S ribosomal RNA
Rfam family: Bacterial small subunit ribosomal RNA
Source: RNAcentral